RNAcentral lists this unclassified non-coding RNA (353 nucleotides) under soil metagenome. RNAcentral describes it as "partial contains 5.8S ribosomal RNA, internal transcribed spacer 2, and large subunit ribosomal RNA". The stretch from base 1 to 120 matches the Rfam family "5.8S ribosomal RNA", at positions 35 to 154 of the family's 154-position model. The record is from RNAcentral.
GAUGAAGAACGCAUCGAAAUGCGAUAAGUAAUGUGAAUUGCAGAAUUCAGUGAAUCAUCGAAUCUUUGAACGCACAUUGCGCCCGCCAGUAUUCUGGCGGGCAUGCCUGUUCGAGCGUCAUUACAACCCUCAGGCCCCCGGGCCUGGCGUUGGGGAUCGGCGGAAGCCCCCUGCGGGCACAACGCCGUCCCCCAAAUACAGUGGCGGUCCCGCCGCAGCUUCCAUUGCGUAGUAGCUAACACCUCGCAACUGGAGAGCGGCGCGGCCACGCCGUAAAACACCCAACUUCUGAAUGUUGACCUCGAAUCAGGUAGGAAUACCCGCUGAACUUAAGCAUAUCAAUAAGCGGAGGA